CCACUGGAGGAAACUCUGAUGCUGUCGAUGCCGCGUGAGUGAAGAAGGCCUUUGGGUUGUAAAGCUCUUUUGUAGGGGAAGAUAAUGACUGUACCCUAAGAAUAAGGUCCGGCUAACUUCGUGCCAGCAGCCGCGGUAAUACGAAGGGACCUAGCGUAGUUCGGAAUUACUGGGCGUAAAGCGCGCGUAGGCCGUUGAGUUAGUUAAUUGUGAAAUCCCAAAGCUUAACUUUGGAACUGCAAUUAAAACUGCUCGACUAGAGUUUGAUAGAGGAAAGCGGAAUACAUAGUGUAGAGGUGAAAUUCGUAGAUAUUAUGUAGAACACCAGUUGCGAAGGCGGCUUUCUGGGUCAACACUGACGCUGAGGCGCGAAAGUAUGGGUAGCAAAGAGGAUUAGAUACCCUCGUAGUCCAUACCAUAAACGAUGAUUGCUAGAUGUUGGAAAUUUAUUUUCAGUAUCGCAGCUAACGCAUUAAGCAAUCCGCCUGGGGAGUACGACCGCAAGGUUAAAACUCAAAGGAAUUGACGGGGACCCGCACAAGCGGUGGAUGAUGUGGAUUAAUUCGAUGCAACGCGAAAAACCUUACCUACCCUUGACAUGUACGGAACCCUGCUGAGAGGUGGGGGUGCUCGAAAGAGAGCCGUAACACAGGUGCUGCAUGGCUGUCGUCAGCUCGUGUCGUGAGAUGUCGGGUAAGUCCCGAACGAGCGCACCUUGUCUAUUGGUCGAAAGGCCUCUAUGAACGGCGUGACAACGGAGA
RNAcentral lists this ribosomal RNA (761 nucleotides) under uncultured bacterium. Its description in RNAcentral is "bacterial SSU rRNA". It matches the Rfam family "Bacterial small subunit ribosomal RNA", at positions 368 to 1148 of the family's 1533-position model. The record is from RNAcentral.